AUUGAACGCUGGCGGCAUGCUUUACACAUGCAAGUCGAACGGCAGCGCGGGCUUCGGCCUGGCUGCGAGUGGCGAACGGGUGAGUAAUGCAUCUGAACGUUCCCCGUAGUGGUGGAUAGCCCGGCGAAAGCCGGAUUAAUACCGCAUACUACCUGAGGGUGAAAGCGGUGGACCGAAAGGCCUCGCGCUCUUUGAGCGGCCGAUGGCGGAGUAGCUAGCUGGUGGGGUAAAGGCUUACCAAGGCGACGAUCCGUAGCUGGACUGAGAGGACGACCAGCCACACGGGGACGGAGACACGGCCAAGACUACUAAGGGAGGCAGCAGUGGGGAAUGUUAGACAAUGGGGGCAAACAUGAUCCAGCCAUGCAGCGUGCGGGAAGAAGGCCUUCGGGUUGUAAACCGCUUUUGUUCGGGAAGAAAUCCUCUGGGCUAAUACCCCGGGGGGAUGACGGUACCGGAAGAAUAAGCACCGGCUAACUACGUG
RNAcentral lists this ribosomal RNA (484 nucleotides) under uncultured bacterium. RNAcentral describes it as "partial 16S ribosomal RNA". It matches the Rfam family "Bacterial small subunit ribosomal RNA", at positions 29 to 507 of the family's 1533-position model. The record is from RNAcentral.